GAUGAACGCUGGCGGCGUGCCUAACACAUGCAAGUCGAGCGGCAGCGAGGGGUGCUUGCACCCUGUCGGCGAGCGGCGGACGGCUGAGUAACGCGUGGGAACGUGCCCCAAAGUGAGGAAUAACUGCCCGAAAGGGUAGCUAAUACCGCAUAUUAUCUUCGGAUCAAAGGAUUUAUCCGCUUUGGGAGCGGCUCGCGUCGGAUUAGGUAGUUGGUGAGGUAAUGGCUCACCAAGCCGACGAUCCGUAGCUGGUCUGAGAGGAUGACCAGCCAGACUGGAACUGAGACACGGUCCCGACUCCUACGGGAGGCAGCAGUGAGGAAUCUUCCACAAUGGGCGAAAGCCUGAUGGAGCAACGCCGCGUGCAGGACGAAGGCCUUCGGGUUGUAAACUGCUUUUAUAAGUGAGGAAUAUGACGGUAACUUAUGAAUAAGGAUCGGCUAACUACGUG
Molecule: ribosomal RNA, 451 nt
Filed under: uncultured bacterium
Lineage: Bacteria
Description: partial 16S ribosomal RNA
Rfam family: Bacterial small subunit ribosomal RNA
Source: RNAcentral